UCCUUCGUAGCUCAAUUGGCAGAGCAGCCGGCUGUUAACCGGCAGGUUACUGGUUCGAGUCCAGUCGGAGGAGC
This 74-nucleotide transfer RNA is filed under the name Streptomyces olivaceus. Its description in RNAcentral is "tRNA-Asn". It matches the Rfam family "tRNA". From Rfam's summary of the family: Transfer RNA (tRNA) molecules are approximately 80 nucleotides in length. Their secondary structure includes four short double-helical elements and three loops (D, anti-codon, and T loops). The record is from RNAcentral. Lineage: Bacteria; Bacillati; Actinomycetota; Actinomycetes; Kitasatosporales; Streptomycetaceae.